GCUGUCUAAGAUAGCCAUGCACGUCUAGUACAAACUAAAUGAUGGUGAAACUGCAAAUGGCUCAUUAUCAACGGUUAUGAUGUACCCGGGAGUUCCGAUGGAUAUUUCCAGUAACACUAGAACUAAUACAUGUCCCUGCGUUUAUUAGUUUCGCACAGUCCGUCGCUGAGUCAUGGUAAACAGUUGAUCGACUCGACGUCCCGGAACAGUUUCCGCCCCAUCAGCUUCGAUGGUUGGGUAUUGGCCUACCAUUGCAACAACGGGUAACGAGGAAUUAGGGUUUGAUUUCGGAGAGGGAGCCUGAGAAACGGCUACCACAUCUACGGAUGGCAGCAGGCGCGCAAAUUACCCAAUGCAGACACUGUGAGGUAGUGACGAGAAAUAAUAAAGCGGGACUUCUGUUUCGCUAUUAUAAUGAGGAAUAACCAAAGGUCAUUCCGAUUAGCAACUGAUGGGAAAGUCUGGUGCCAGCAGCCGCGGUAAUACCAGCGUCAGUAGCA
This 500-nucleotide ribosomal RNA is filed under the name uncultured Myrionecta. Its description in RNAcentral is "SSU rRNA". It matches the Rfam family "Eukaryotic small subunit ribosomal RNA", at positions 33 to 599 of the family's 1831-position model. Lineage: Eukaryota; Ciliophora; Litostomatea; Cyclotrichida; Mesodiniidae. The record is from RNAcentral.